RNAcentral lists this ribosomal RNA (253 nucleotides) under uncultured bacterium. Its description in RNAcentral is "partial 16S ribosomal RNA". It matches the Rfam family "Bacterial small subunit ribosomal RNA", at positions 524 to 776 of the family's 1533-position model. The record is from RNAcentral.
UACAGAGGUCUCAAGCGUUGUUCGGAUUCAUUGGGCGUAAAGGGCGCGUAGGCGGCGGGGUAAGUCGGGUGUGAAAUCUCAGAGCUCAACUCUGAAAUGGCACUUGAUACUGCUCUGCUAGAGGACUGGAGAGGAGAUUGGAAUUCACGGUGUAGCAGUGAAAUGCGUAGAUAUCGUGAGGAAGACCGGUGGCGAAGGCGGAUCUCUGGACAGUUCCUGACGCUGAGGAGCGAAAGCGUGGGGAGCAAACAGG